RNAcentral lists this ribosomal RNA (136 nucleotides) under uncultured eukaryote. RNAcentral's name for it is "partial 18S ribosomal RNA". It matches the Rfam family "Eukaryotic small subunit ribosomal RNA", at positions 1299 to 1458 of the family's 1831-position model. The record is from RNAcentral.
UGGUGGAGCGAUUUGUCUGCUUAAUUGCGUACAACGAACGAGACUCUAGCCUAUUAAAUAGAUAGCUGAUCCUUUUGUCAGCUAUUCUUCUUAGAGGGACAAGUGGCGUUUAGCCACACGAAAAUGAGCAAUAACA